This 330-nucleotide ribosomal RNA is filed under the name uncultured eukaryote. Its description in RNAcentral is "partial 18S ribosomal RNA". It matches the Rfam family "Eukaryotic small subunit ribosomal RNA", at positions 1470 to 1796 of the family's 1831-position model. The record is from RNAcentral.
CCCUUAGAUGUUCGGGGCCGCACGCGCGCUACACUGAAGGAAUCAGCACGUCUUUCUCCUUGUCCGAAAGGACUGGGUAACCCGCUGAACCUCCUUCGUGCUAGGGAUUGGGGCUUGUAAUUCUUCCCCAUGAACGAGGAAUUCCCAGUAAGCGCGAGUCAUAAGCUCGCGUUGAUUACGUCCCUGCCCUUUGCACACACCGCCCGUCGCUACUACCGAUUGGAUGGUUUAGUGAGAUCCUCGGAUUGGUCCCGGAGCGGCCUCUGGUCGUGCCGGAGUGCCGAAAAGAAUGUCGAACUUGAUCAUCUAGAGGAAGUAAAAGUCGUAACA